UGACAGUGAGUUCUCCAUAAUCAUAUGCUCAUUUCUGCUACCUCUGAUUCACAACCCUUACCUUCUUUCUUAGAAUCAAUGCUAAACAACAGUUCCAAGGCAGAAGAGCCAUAAGGGCUGGGCAUUGAUGUCACACAGCUGGAAGUGUCUGAGGUCAUAUUUGCACCCAGGACCGACCCCAGGCCUGGUUCUCUGUCCACUGAACCACCUAGCUGCCUCCCAUGUUCUUAAUAAUAAAAAAGCCUGUAUACAACACUUUGAGGUUUGCAAAACACUUUUCAAAGUCACAUUUAAGACUCCCAACAACACUGAGAGAGCACAGAGACAAAAGAAAACAGAUUUGACGGCAUUUUUGGCCAGGCGCAACUAUAUAAUAUGUCAUUAAAAACCCUACAGUUCUUGAUUUUGGCAUUUUCACUGUGUGCUUUAGAUUUGGAGUUGUUAUUGAAUUCAGCAAACUUGACACCCACGUUCACCAAGAUUUCAUAGAUUUGCCCAUCAACACUGGCCCAAAGUCCGAUCUCGAUCUCUGAACAUCAUUUCCGGAUAUUUAUGUUACCUGGUCCUUUUUCUCCUGUUUCAUGACCUGAAAGUGAACACAUUUUGUUUUUCCAGGGAUGGAAAAACUCUGGUUUUUACCCACAAUGCCUUCAAAUCCCAAGACCCUAGAACUAGAAAUGAAAGGCCUCCGAGAAACCAUGUAGUUCAAAUUCUUAUUUAAGAAAUGAGGAGACUGAGGCUGAGAAAGGCAAAAGUGACUGGCCUUUCCGUGGGAGAGGAGGAAAAGAUGGACUCUGAAACCUGGUCUUUGCACAGAUAAAAAUAGGAAUGGAGGGUGAGAUUGGAUUUCUGAGACUCCAUCUUGUGCCUGAGAAAGAAUCCUCCCCAAGACAAAUCUGAUCAGCACAGCUUCAGCUCGAAGACCUCCCUGGAGAGGGAGCCCACCAACCAGCUGCCUAGGCAGUACACCCUCUUCUUGGACAGCUCCUCAAGCCUCAGUGUGGGUCCCCUCCAGGUCACUCCUCGUCCUCACUUAGCUAGAAGGAGCCUGACUACUCGGUCAUUUUGUCUCUGAGAGAUAAAAGGAAUGAGCCUGUGGAGACCUUCAUGGCAGGGCCUGGAAGAAGGGCAGCUCCAAAGUUCCUCUUUGUUUCCUCCUCUAUCAUUAUAUGCCCAUUUGGCUGAUCGAUCAUACUGAUCACUUCCAUCAGCAGUCAUGGCCUGCCAAAAUCUCACUAUGACAGACUUAAAUGACACACCAGCCCCCACACUUGGAUUAAGGCUUCAUUACAAUGAACACUGGUUUUUACAAAUGGG
This 1317-nucleotide long non-coding RNA is filed under the name Monodelphis domestica (gray short-tailed opossum). Its description in RNAcentral is "lncRNA (ENSMODG00000049196.1)". Lineage: Eukaryota; Metazoa; Chordata; Mammalia; Didelphimorphia; Didelphidae. The record is from RNAcentral.